AGUUUAAAUCAUUGCAUGAUACAUAUCAUAAAAUAAUACAAUCAGAAAAAGAAUGAGUGAAUCUGCUAGGAGGGAUACAGUCCAAAAGUGGGCUCAUUAUCAUUCCAUGAGUUUCCUCAGAGACUCUUGUUUUCUAAAAACCACUGUGUCUAAUAUAAAUAGUAGUGAUGUCGAUUCAAGCUCAUCAUUAACGAAUGAUGAAAAAUAAAUGCAGGAAACAU
Non-coding RNA from Linepithema humile (Argentine ant), 221 nucleotides. NCBI's taxonomy places the organism in Eukaryota, Metazoa, Arthropoda, Insecta, Hymenoptera, Formicidae. The record is from RefSeq and is a predicted model, not a curated record.